RNAcentral lists this non-coding RNA (96 nucleotides) under Ohtaekwangia koreensis. RNAcentral's name for it is "TPP sequence". It matches the Rfam family "TPP riboswitch aptamer (THI element)". Rfam says of the family: Vitamin B(1) in its active form thiamin pyrophosphate (TPP) is an essential coenzyme that is synthesised by coupling of pyrimidine and thiazole moieties in bacteria. Lineage: Bacteria; Pseudomonadati; Bacteroidota; Cytophagia; Cytophagales; Fulvivirgaceae. The record is from Rfam by way of RNAcentral.
AUAAACGCAUCGGGGUGCUGUGAAAAACAGCUGAGAUUAUACCCGGGGAACCUGAUUCUGGUUAGUACCAGCGAAGGGAAUGCAAGCUUCGAUUUU